Molecule: non-coding RNA, 877 nt
Organism: Cyanistes caeruleus (blue tit)
Lineage: Eukaryota; Metazoa; Chordata; Aves; Passeriformes; Paridae
Source: RefSeq, a predicted model, not a curated record
CCCUUUUCCCCCUCCCUUUCUGUUAUAUUUGCUGAGCUGUUUGCAUUUUAACUUUGCAGGAGAAGGAAAAGAGGAAAUGAUGUUUUGUAAAAAUACACAGUAAUUACCAAUUGGACUAAACUAGAGGCAGCAACUGAUGGCAGUGCGGAGGGAACCAGCCAGGGUUGCUGACAGAGGGAGCCUGGUAAGGUCUUCAUGAAAUGAAAGGGAUGUGGAGCUCUGCAGCUUCUGCCCACAGCUUCUGCUCAGCCAUCGUGGGAGUCGCUUCCUCAAAGUUCCCUCCUGAGAAGAGAUGUGGUUUUAAGAAGAUGGAGAUGGCUCAUUCUGCAUUAAAGGACUGGACAGGGGAUUCCAAACUAAAAUAUGGCUCCAGUUCUGACCAGCACCUUUGUGUUGCUGUGUAGGAAGAUGGGAUCAUGGUGUCAGUCUGAGCUCUGGGAGUCUGGAGAAAUCCCUGCCACACUGUAAAAGAAUUUACAGGAGCAACAAGAGUCUGAACUGUGCUGAAAUAAUCCUGAGAGCAUCACACUCCUCACACUGCAACAGCUGAAAGAGAAAAUUCCUCUGUACCUUCCACAGGCUGGAAACAGUGGCCUCAGAGAUGUCAGAGAGGUGAUUUAGUGCCGGGUUUCUAUGGAAGGUUCCUCCAUUCAGCUGUAAUUUAGAGCCAUUGCUUAAAUCCUUCCGAAAGUUCACUUCUGGGAGCUUCCCUGCUUUGUACCCAGCCCGGGAAAUAAAAAUGCACAUCUUCAGAGGAGGUUCCAAUCAGCAUCUGAGCAGGACUGAGGAUGGUGAUUGCAAACUGAAGGUGGCUCUUUGCCAUAUAUCAAGGAGGUAUAUAGGAUAUAUCAUCUUUCCUGAUGGGAUGGGAAGGGAA